AAUGCCUGUAUAUUUGAAUAUAAUAAAUACAUUAUAUUGAAUUUCAUAUCCUAUGAAAUUCAACUCCCGACCUGUACGCAUGUCGUCUGUCUGUCUGUCUGCCUGUCUGUCUGUCUGUCUGUCUGUCUGUCUGCCUGCCUGCCUGCCUGCCUGCCUGCCUGCCUGUCUGUCUGUCUGUCUGUCUGUCUGCCUGCCUGCCUGUCUGUCUGUCUGUCUGUCUGCCUGUCUGCCUGUCUGUCUGUCUGUCUGUCUGUCUGCCUGUCUGCCUGUCUGUCUGUCUGGCUGGCUGUCUGUCUGUCUGUCUCUCUGCCUGUCUGCCUGUGUGUCUGUCUGUCUGUCUGUCUGUCUGUCUGUCUGUCUGUCUGUCUGCCUGUCUGUCUGUCUGUCUGUCUGUCUGUCUGUCUGUCUGUCUGUCUGUCUGUCUGGUCAGGUCCAGCAGCAGAGGAACGAGGAGGUGGCAGCCCCCCCCCUUACGGACGUCAACAGAUCGACGGCCCCGCCCCCCAAACCCAUCAGCCCCCCCCCCCCGACCCCCACCCAGCCCCCGCUCCCUGCCCCCGUCCAGAAACCCCCCCCCCCCCCCCACUGGGCACCCCCCGUCCUCCCUGGAUUUCGAUCAAUCUCCCUACACCACCCCCCCUUCUUCCCCCCGCACCUCCCCCCCCCCCCCCCCCCCCCCAGCCCAACUCACCUCCCUCCGCCCCCACCGGGACCUCCCCCGUGAGCCCCACCGCCCCUCGGCCCUCCACCGCCCUGCCCCCCAAGCCCGCCCCCAGGCGUCUCUCCCGGCCUCCGCCGGGACCGGAACCCCCCGCAGCUACCCCACCGUCUCCCCUCCCCUCAGACGACGGGUGUCACUUGUGUGGCGUCGUUCCCACGGUAACCUGUGCGUCGUGCUCCCCCCUGCUCUUCUGCGACGUGUGCGAUGGAAUCUUCCACCGCAACCCAGCGAGAGCCAAUCACAAGAGAGAGCCGAUUCCACCCGCCAAAAAGGAGUACUGCUCCAUCUGUGGCGUCCUGCCAGUGGAUAUGGACUGCCCCGUCUGUGUCAUGAAGUUCUGCCUGGUGUGUGACGGGGUCUACCACCAGCACCCCGAGCGCGCCGGGCACCCGAGGACCGCCCUGACGCCGCCCAGGGCCAGCAGCUCCCUUCCCUACAGUUCCGUCCCGUCCACGUGGACGUGCGGCCAUUGCUCCGUGGAGAACCCGAUGCAGACGGUGCUCUGUGACGGCUGUAAGCGCCCCCGUCUGGCCAGCCCCAGCCCCCGGCCCCAGGAGGACACCCCAAAAGGCCCCCUGUCCCCCACCACCGGUGAGCCUUCACCACGCCGACUAGAUGUGCGACGGAUAGAUGAGCAACGUUUGCUCCAGUCCACCGGGCAGGCUGGUAGACUGAUCUAUCCAGAGCACAUCUAGGAGGACACGCCCACUAGUGAUGUCAGAAGAGGCCGGUUUUCAAAACGGCUCGUCGCGGCCAAUCACACUCACACCUGGUGGUGUGAUAUGUCACCUUUAAACAGCAGACAAACUCUAAAACCAAGACAUGGCGGCCGUCCCAGGAACACACAGGCCGCCAUCUUCACAACGCCACCAACACACCCGGCGUAUUCAACUGACCACAGAUCAGCUCACCCCCACCCCCCCCUCUCUCCCCACCCCCCCCCAGAUUGGCAGUGCACCAGCUGCACUGUGAUGAACAAGGCCACCCGCGUCCUGUGCGCGGUGUGUGAGCGCCCCGCCUGGCCCACCGGCCGUCCCUCGCCACCCUCGCCCGGACCGCGCCGAAGCUCCUGGGCGCCCCCGCCACGCAGGUGGGUCACUCCUCGCCAACGAGCGCUGCUGUGUUUCCAGGGGCGACCCUGUUUUCAAACCCAGGCUGACGAGUCGAUCCGUCUGUCACCCCUCGGGGUAAAGUGCCCCUGUGAUGUCACCAGGGCAGUUAUCGGAGGGUUGGGGUAACGCAGUGGUGGGAGUGUUUAUAGCACUUAGCAGCGUGUAGCGUCUAAUGCUAGCUAUCGUUGAACGGGUUAACCUAGAGAUGGUUAGCGCUUGGCACUUGGUUCUAUGAACGUCCUUACUGGGCUGAUGGCCAUAUAUUUUCGUUUUCCUUUCUUCUGACAAACGUACUUAUUUUAAGUCGCACUGGAUAAAAGCGUCUGCUAAAGGCCCUAAAUGUAAAUGUAAAUGUUUGUGAUGAUGAUUAGGUAACAGCCACACAUUUAGUCGUCUUCAGAUCAUUGUGAGUUCUUACAUCACAGCCAUCAUUUAUGAGUGAUCUCUCACUAGGAUGCCGGUCUGAAUCCCGGUCGAGCUGAGGGGGGAGCUGUAAAGGCCAAUUCGUCCGUCCGUACCAAACGUUUCCGGGACUACCCGGUUUCAGCGUUGUUGAACGGCAUCGACAAUCGCAAACAGCAUCUGUAGACAGGCCUGCGUUCACCUGCCGUUGGGCCCUGGGGCGGAGAGGUUCGUUAGUUGAGAGAGGAUCUUACAAUGAAGAUGCCGUUGUUGACAGGGGGCGGGGUGGGUUAGACGACUGUGGCUGUGGUGGUCAAGUGGCCACUGGGCCCAGCUACCACUCGUGCCCCCCCCCCUUUUCUUGGCUCAUGAUAGGCCUGUGAUCUUUGUAAGCCCCAAACAAAAAAUCACAUUGUCUUGGGCCUACGCCGAUCAUGCCUAUAAUGAGCCAGUAAUAUAAAAAAUAAAAGAUAGGCCCACUGAUCUGGGGGCCUAUCAUGAGCCAGUAAUAAAAAAAUAAAAUCAUAUAAAGAAUAAUAAUUUGACUGCAGCUCAUGAUAGGCUGCAGUAAAAUUAAAAUAAAAAGGCCAGGUAUGUAGUAUAAUAUGAGUAUAAAUGUUAAAUACAAUAUGUAUAUACAUAUCACAUAUUAUACUACUCUCUCUAUUUUCGCGAAUGGUUGGACUUCUGACUCUAUACUGCCGCCUCGAUUUCCGGUGGUAUUGCUCCGUUUCUCCCGGAGCACUCCGGAUUCGUAAGCUCAGAGGCGACGGACACACUGACGGACGAAACGACCUCCGGGACCGGACGAAGGGGUUCCUAUCCGUACUUACCGUAGGGUGGGAAUGGGCAGUAGCAGGGCACCACCAUGACGUCGGCUAUAAUGGAUGGGCUGACUGUGAUCCAAUCAGGGCUGGUUGCCCACUAAGUGGCGCAUGUGGAAGCAUGUAAAUCUGACUCAGACAUUUACAUUACAUUGAGCACCAGAGCCCGAUGAUUCAAAUGUCCGAGGACGUGACGUACAGAUCAAGAGCUAAGCCGACUGAAACACAACGAUUCUUAUGUUCAUGUUAUGCACUUAUUUAAGCGUGCAGAUGACUACUAUAUCGCAUGUCGUAUGCAUCGUUUCGGAUCUAGUAUCGGAUCGGUGCAUAGACUCACUGAUGCCUGCGCUCAGGAUCUAUCGGAUGGAUUUCAGGUACCGGUUUCGAUAUCGUAACGACUCUAGUCUGGGCUUAAGGUGCGGCCACACCAGACGCGUAUCUCGCGUAAUUUUUACGCGAGAUACGCGUGUAAAAUGUUGCUUGACCAUUUUGUGUCAAAAAUGGUCACAUACGCGCAAUACGCGCCAUACGCGCCUACGUCACUCGCCUAGAUGAGUCCAUGUCCAUGCAAGUGAACGGAGCGUUCCCUCUUCGUCAUAACUAUCAAACCAAACAUCCUUCACAUUCACCGAGCGAACAUUACGAAAGUAAAAUGCACAUUUCUCGCUAAAAAUGUUUCCAUAAACGCAUUUAAUGGCGUAACUAUGUUACUAUUUCCACCCAGAACAAAGAAAGUUGUCGGCCGUGGCUGUGUGUGUCUGUGUGUGUGUCUUGCCCCAGGAUGAGGCUCCCCACGGUUGGGUGUGUGUGUGUGUGUGUGUGUGUUGCCCCAGGAUAAGCUGCGCUGGAGUCCGAGGUAGGAAACCCAAACGCCGCCGUGUUUGGGUGAUAGAGUUUAGAUCGGGUUAGAUUAAAUAAUCUCGGAUAUAAAUAACAAUAAUCGGGUUAAAUAACUUCACAUGGUGUGUCUGGUGUGUUUCCAGCAUUCGUAGUGUUGAUCAGCAGAUAUAUAGUCCGCCAAGACGUUGAGGUUGCUUAUGCCGCUUUUCCACCGCACAUGUAGCUCGACUCGACACGACUCGACACGACUCGACACGACUCGACACGACUCGACACGACUCGACACGACUCGACACGACUCGACACGACUCGACACGACUCGACACGGUAGCAGCGCGGGUCCUUUUCCACCGCAAAUAGUACCUCCGGGACGUGGGCGGGGUCGGCUGCGCGAAAGGGCCGUGACGUAUUUGUGUACGCGACGCAAACAACACCUACGUAACCCACACAUGGACAGAACCCACAUAACAACAAUGGAGAACAUCGAUGCGAUGGUAUUCGUGUUCGUAUUAUUAGCUGGCAUGUUGAAGAAGUGGAAUAUGUUGGCUGCGGCGCUGCUAUGGCUGUUACCAGCAUGGUUGCCAUGUCGCUCUCGUGACUUCGUCACACUCUCUGGCCAAUCAGUGGCCGGCCGUCUGCCGACGUCACCUUUUAGCAUCGGCUCAGCCGCUUGGAACCUUGAGCGAGGCGGUACUAGAAAAAGCAGCCACUUCAGGUACCAGAUACCAUGUUUUCCGCGGUGGAAACGCAAAAAAGGCGAGCUGCCAGUGACGUCGGGUCAAGCUCAACGCUGAUUGGGCAAUGCAUGUCUCGUCAGACGCAUAUCUCGCGUACUUCACGUAAAAAGUUCAAUUUUUUGAACUCUUGAAAUGUACGUGAUAUACGCGCGUAUUGCGCGUAAAUAUACGCGCCACAUACGCGCUAUACGCGCGUAAAAUGUUGCUUAUACGCGUAUUACGCGUGAAACGUGUAAUACGCGCGUAAACCAAUGGUUCCCUAUGGAAAAAAUGGCGAUUUCAUACGCGAAGUACGCGAGAUACGCGUCUGGUGUGGCCGCACCUUUAAGGUGCGGCCACACCAGACGCGUAUCUCGCGUAUCUUUUACGCGAGAUACGCAAGUAAAAUGUUGCUUGACCAUUUUGUGUCAAAAAUGGUCACAUACGCGCAAUACGCGCCAUACGCGCAUACGUCACUCGCCUAGAUGAGUCCAUGUCCAUGCAAGUGAACGGAGCGUUCCCUCUUCGUCAUAACUAUCAAACCAAACAUCCUUCACAUUCACCGAGCGAACAUUACGAAAGUAAAAUGCACAUUUCUCGCUAAAAAUGUUUCCAUAAACGCAUUUAAUGGCGUAACUAUGUUACUAUUUCCACCCAGAACAAAGAAAGUUGUCGGCCGUGGCUGCGCUGGAGUCCGAGGUAGGAAACCCCAACGCCGCCGUGUUUGGGUGAUAGAGUUUAGAUCGGGUUAGAUUAAAUAAUCUCGGAUAUAAAUAACAAUAAUCGGGUUCAAUAACUUCACAUGGUGUGUCUGGUGUGUUUCCCAGCAGAGAAAUAGUCCGCCAAGACGUUGAGGUUGCUUAGUAACCAGAGACUCUGUCCAUGCAAGUGAACGGAGCGUUCCCUCUUCGUCAUAACUAUCAAACCAAACAUCCUUCACAUUCACCGAGUGAACAUUAUGAAAGUAAAAUGCACAUUUCUCGCUAGAAAUGUUUCCAUAAAAGCAUUUAAUGGCGUAACUAUGUUACUAUUUCCACACAGAAUAAAGAAAGAUGUCGGCCGUAUGCUUCUGUCCAAGCUCACUACUCUCUGCCAGUGACGUCGGGUCAAGCUCAACGCUGAUUGGGCAACGCGGCUAAUCGUCAUGCGUAUCAUGCGUAUUGAGCGUAAAAAGUUCAAUUUUUUGAACUCUUGAAAUGUACGCGAUAUACGCGCGUAUAGCGCGUAUUGCGCGUAAAUAUACGCGCCACAUACGCGCUAUACUCGCGUAAAAUGUUGCUUAUACGCGCGUAAACCAAUGGUUCCCUAUGGAAAAAAUGGCGAUUUUAUACGCGAAGUACGCGAGAUACGCGUCUGGUGUGGCCGCACCUUUAGCCUGGCUAUUGCCAGACCGAGCUCCAUCGUAGAUUACACGUUGGUCUGGGGAGCCUGCUGUCAUUUUCUUCAGCACAAGAGGCGUGAUCAGCAGGCCUAGUUCAAAUGACUCUGUUCGCAAUUGGCUGCUUGCCGUCGCUUCCCUGUCGUUAUUGUGUUAAACCAGCCAAUAGCGCGUGUGUCUGAAUCAGAAAGAAACGUAUCGCUCUUCUCCAGACCUUAGUGCGGGGCGGAGUCAGAUCGCCGGCAGAACGGGCGUGGCUCCCCAGUCUAGCCUGGGGUGAUACAUUAUGACGAAGUGGACCUUCAGAUGUUUCCUCCUCUCCUCCUCUCCUAGUGGACCUGCCAGGCGUGCACCUACCGAAACCUCG
Gadus morhua (Atlantic cod) is the source of this 6360-nucleotide long non-coding RNA. The record is from Ensembl. NCBI's taxonomy places the organism in Eukaryota, Metazoa, Chordata, Actinopteri, Gadiformes, Gadidae.